RNAcentral lists this long non-coding RNA (635 nucleotides) under Marmota monax (woodchuck). Lineage: Eukaryota; Metazoa; Chordata; Mammalia; Rodentia; Sciuridae. The record is from RNAcentral.
AUAGGAACAGACUAUGAAAAAUCUGGGUGAAAUUCAGUCUUCCGUUAAUCAAUACUGAUCUCCAUCACUCUUUUCACUCCAUACACACCACCCUCUGGCGUUAGGUUAGUGCUACUAAGUUUAUUUUCUUGGAUCAACAAUCACUAAUAUGUUUUUAUUUAAAGUGAGUGUGUAUGAAUUUGUUCAGUUAAUCUUUUUUUGAGUACCUGCUUUCUCUAAGACACUGAAUAUAUAGUGGUAAAGAACUCACAUGGGAGUUUUGCUGUGCUGUCACACAAGUAAAACAAUAUAUUCCCACUUAUAGAUGAGAAAUCUUCCCAGAGAAUAAGUAGUCUGCAUAUAAUCAUGUACCUUUUUUUUUCUUUUCUUUUUUGCGAUGCUGGGAAUCAUUAAACUCAGGGCCUCCCAUGUAAUAGGCAAGUGUUUUGCCACUCAGCUAUACUCCCAACCCCCCCAAUUUUUCUUUCUUUUUUGUACCAGGGAUUAAACAGAGGGGUGCUUAACCACUGAUCCACAGCCACAGCCCUUUUUAGAGACAGGGUGUCACUGAAUUGCUUAGGGCCUCACUAAGUUGCUGACGCUGGCUUUGAACCUAUGAUCUUCCUGCUUGAGCCUCCUGAGCUGCUGGUUACGGG